Molecule: ribosomal RNA, 440 nt
Filed under: uncultured bacterium
Lineage: Bacteria
Description: partial 16S ribosomal RNA
Rfam family: Bacterial small subunit ribosomal RNA
Source: RNAcentral
CCUACGGGAGGCAGCAGUGGGGGAUAUUGCACAAUGGGGGGAACCCUGAUGCAGCGACGCCGCGUGGGUGAAGAAGCGCCUCGGCGCGUAAAGCCCUGUCAGCAGGGAAGAAAAUGACGGUACCUGAAGAAGAAGCCCCGGCUAACUACGUGCCAGCAGCCGCGGUAAUACGUAGGGGGCAAGCGUUAUCCGGAUUUACUGGGUGUAAAGGGGGCGCAGACGGCGAUGCAAGCCAGGAGUGAAAGCCCGGGGCCCAACCCCGGGACUGCUGUUGGAACUGCGUGGCUGGAGUGCAGGAGGGGGAGGCGGAAUGCCUGGUGUAGGGGGGAAAUGCGGAGAUAUAAGGAGGAACACCGGUGGCGAAGGCGGCCUGAUGGAGUGCAAAUGACGUUGAGGCCCGAAAGCGUGGGGAGCAAACAGGAUUAGAUACCCGAGGAGUC